Long non-coding RNA from Canis lupus familiaris (dog), 1512 nucleotides. RefSeq lists it as uncharacterized. The transcript is spliced from 3 exons. The record is from RefSeq and is a predicted model, not a curated record. NCBI's taxonomy places the organism in Eukaryota, Metazoa, Chordata, Mammalia, Carnivora, Canidae.
CCUACCCGAUUUAACCCAUGGCAACCUAUCUUAGAAACAACUACUGAAAUUACUUACUAUCUCCUCCUUUUAUCAAAAAGUAUCAAAAAUAGCAGCUGAAUUUUAACAAGAAACAAUGCCUGGGCUGCUCACAUCAAGGUAGCUUUAAUCUAGGAGUGUACUUGGCCUGCCAGCAUAUGCAAAGUCUCAGGAAACAUCUGAUGGUACAUCUUCCCGAAUGUAACUAUUAAUGGCACAUCAUUUUAAACAUUUCAUGUGAAAACAAACAUGGCUAUAUAAAUUCGGAUUGCAAAGUACCAAGAAUCGCAAAGAAAAAACACAAGACUGUGAGGAAAUUUUAUUAUUGUGAUAGGCUGUUUGAACAACCACCACCCCCCCAAAGCCAUUCAUUUCUGUUAUUUGAUCUCAUGUCCCACUGCCAUCAGAUAGGCAUCUGUAGGAAAAUUGAAACAGCACAGUCUUCAGCCAAGGGAAUGAAGUCCUAAUGUCUAAUUAUUUCAGUACCAUCCAGCUGGAGAGAUACCAGAAAUUAGCAAGAGGACGAUAACUCUUAUGCAGUAGAAAUAAAUUGAAGUUCCAACAUCUACUACUGGUGUGACCUUGGGCAAGUCACUUACCCUCUUUGAGUAAAUCUCUACAUGCCACAUAAAGGUUAAGGUAACCAUAAUUUUCUGAGUGACAAAACCAAAACACAUCACCAUGGAUGUAUUUUUUUUGUUUUGUGGAAAAAAAGCUCACAUUAAUCUACAUGUUGAGAUAACCACUAUUAGUGCUUGAAUACCAAGGACAAGAACAAGACUCUAUAGACUUCCAACGGAAGAAAAAUUAAUAAGAAUCAGAAAUCUGAAUGGUGUCACAGUUCUCAGCAACAAUCAGAACCAUGAAGAAAUGCAUCAAUGCUCUCAAUAUUCUGAAAGUAAGCACUCUGCAAUCUAGAAUUCUAUAGUUAACCAGACUGUGAUCAAGCUAAGAUAAAGAUCAUUCUGGUAUAAAAUAUCUCAAAAAAAGUAACCUUGUGCACCCUUCAUCAAGAAUCUUCUGGAGGAUGCACUUCUUGAAAUGAGCAUUAUCAACUAAGAAGAUGACUAGGGAUAAGGAAAUGGGUCAUCCAGUGCUGGAGAGAGACAAAGAGAAUUCUCCGGAAAUUCCCAAGGAAAGGGGAAAUCUGAAAUGAUAGUUAUGCUCUAGAUCAGAAGGCAACAAUCCAGUCUGAAGUAUCACAAUAAGCAACAAAUAUACAAAAGCAGUUUUCACCUAGAGCCUUAACUGCCAUCCAACCCAAAAUGCCUGGAUGUACCUGCUUCAGAUGCUUAUGUGUUUUGGAUUGCAUAACCAUGUGCUGUGGAAAUUUCUGUUCUGUCCAUGCUCUGAUAUUAGAUCAUCUAAAGACACUCAUUUCAGGAAUGCCUGGGUGGCUCAGUGGUUGAGCAUCUGCCUUUGACUCAGGUCGUGAUCCUGGGGUCCUAGGAUCAAGUCCUGAAUCAGGCUCCCCUCCCACCCCAAGAGCCUGCU